Mytilus californianus (California mussel) is the source of this 967-nucleotide long non-coding RNA. RefSeq lists it as uncharacterized. NCBI's taxonomy places the organism in Eukaryota, Metazoa, Mollusca, Bivalvia, Mytilida, Mytilidae. The transcript has 2 exons. The record is from RefSeq and is a predicted model, not a curated record.
CUACUUUCAAUUGUAAAUAUUCUCCGGUUUCAUUGUAGAGCUCUCCGGGAGAUCAACCCCAUUAGACUGUGUUACGGAGAUGUCCCUCGAACAGUCCAGGAGAUAUUUAGACUGAAGGAGAUCUUAUUUCAAGGUAUAAAUAUUGACCAACGCAUUUUAUUUUUCACUUUAACGAAAGAAAUUAUCAGGCAACAUAAAACUUAGAAGAUGGCAAAUUUAGUUGUUGUCCUUAAUGUUCCACCUAAGGGGAAAUCUAUGGAUAUAGAAUACGCAGAAAAAUGUAACAAAGGAGCAAAUAAUCGGAUGAAAUCACAUUUAACAGACAUUGAAAAAAUGCAGCAGAGGAAAGAGUUGCAAUUACGAAAGGAAAAGCAAAAUUUAAAACAAGAACUAGCAGACAUCCGUAAAAAAUCUCCUUUGGUAAAAGAACUAAAAACUCCGGAAUUUCUUAAACAAGAGAAAUCAAGAAUUCGACAAACUGCAGCCGGAUGUGUGAAAAGGUUCGACUAUAGAUCAGACGGUAAUUCAUCAGAUGAAUGUAUUAGUGAACUUUCUUUUGACGGCAGUGAAGAUUCUUCUGACGCAGAAACGAAAUAUAGACGAAGAAAAAUUGCAACACUUGAGGAGAGACGUCGGGAAAAGACUAUGUCUAACUUACAUAGAAGAUACUCCGCUCAACUUAAAACAAAUAUCAAAAGUUGAAAUUGGAUCGCUAGAGAUAGUUUGGUGCUUUAACAUUGUGGUGCUAUUGUGUCCGGCAUUCUCUGGUAGAAUUGACACCAGAAAAGUUAUACGUAUCAAGUGAAAAUAACAGCCGUUUUGAUUUUCUGAUUUAGUGAGAAAAAAAAACAUUCGUUUUGGUGAUUAGGGGAAUAUAUAGAUCAUUGACCUGUAUGAGUAAGAUUUGGUGCUUUGUUUUGCAAUUGUUAUUUUGUGUAUAUUUAUAAAAUCACAUUUACUUUUCAAA